GCCCUGUUAGCUCAGUUGGUAGAGCAGCUGACUCUUAAUCAGCGGGUCCUAGGUUCGAGUCCUAGACAGGGCA
This 73-nucleotide transfer RNA is filed under the name Phycisphaeraceae bacterium. RNAcentral describes it as "tRNA-Lys". It matches the Rfam family "tRNA". Rfam says of the family: Transfer RNA (tRNA) molecules are approximately 80 nucleotides in length. Lineage: Bacteria; Pseudomonadati; Planctomycetota; Phycisphaerae; Phycisphaerales; Phycisphaeraceae. The record is from RNAcentral.